RNAcentral lists this ribosomal RNA (912 nucleotides) under Triticum aestivum (bread wheat). RNAcentral's name for it is "partial small subunit ribosomal RNA". The record is from RNAcentral. Lineage: Eukaryota; Viridiplantae; Streptophyta; Magnoliopsida; Poales; Poaceae.
AUGGAGGAGAGUCUCACCGCUGCUCGCCGUCGGCCGCUCCCUCAACGCCCACGACCAGGGCACCCGCUGCUGCGCCGCCCGGCGAGCAACCGCCGCCGCGAUCCUGACAGAAGCGGCCUCGCGAGCUCGAACCUCUGCAUGGUGGCCUCGCUCCUUCUGAUGCAUUCUCUGUGCAGCGGCCUCGCCGGGUGCGUCAGGAGCACCGCCGCCGGGUGCGCACGCGUCCUUGGACCCCCACGAGCUCUUCGUCCACGCCCACAUGGCCAGCGGGAACCAUGUCCAUUCCAAGACUAUCCAUCAUCCUCGCCGUGCUCUUACCUGCGUUUUGGAUGGCCGCGGUCUCCGUGUGUGCAGCUCAACGCUGCUCCUGGCACGCUCGCACUUGCAACUAUGUGGCAUGCGCAAGGCUCGGCACGCCGUCGCAGACUCUGCUGGUCGCCAUCGACCCAGCAACGCCGCCGCCUGGAUCUUGUGCAGCACCUGCGGCGCUGCGCGCCCAAGUCGUCGCCGCGAGCAUCCAGGCUCAGCACGACCUACUCCCCCAUGGCGGCGACCAUACCUCCCGCUGCCAUGUGGCUCCCUCGGCCUCUGCACGCCCGGCAACAACAGGUCCUCCUGCACCACGCACACGAGCGGCGACUGCUCGCCGGCCGACGGCUCCACUCUCCUAGACGGCGUCAGGCCCUGACCCUCCCAGUGCACGCACACAACAUGUUUGUUGUAAUGUGUGCGAGAGUGGAAAAGAGGAGAAGGAAGAAGAAUUGGUCAAGACGCACACGUGGCAAUUUUUUGCCAAGUCAGCUCCUGACGAGCGGGCCCCGUCUGUCGGAAACGCGAUCAAACACGUCAAAGCAAGCGAUAAGUGCUUUAUGCAAAAGGAUUACUGAAUGCAGGGUUUGUUUCUGCAAAUAA